Molecule: long non-coding RNA, 1105 nt
Organism: Cephus cinctus (wheat stem sawfly)
Lineage: Eukaryota; Metazoa; Arthropoda; Insecta; Hymenoptera; Cephidae
Exons: 2
Source: RefSeq, a predicted model, not a curated record
UUCUGAAUAAAUUAAUCAACGUGUGACAAUUAUUACGUAUUUCUUCCUAAUUUCAUAAAUACCAAUAUCCCCACAUUCAAGGUAAUAUAAGAAAAUAAAUUCAAAAACAAGGGUCCGCUGUAUAAGAAUAACGAAAAGUAUUUUGAUUUUUUUUUCCAAAAAUUCAUUAAACUGGACUAGUCACGUGUUCGCAAACUUCUGAGUCAAUGCUGUCACUCAUUCGAAUUCGAAUUGAAAAUUCGAAAUUGCUGAGAGAAAAUCGCAAAAAAAUUUGCAAAAAAAUGUACGAUACUUGGAUUUUCUUAAAGAAAUACUGUCGGUCAACUUUGGCUCAGCUAUUUUUGGAAAAACCUCCGAAUUGCUGCUUGAGUUCCGAAAAGGAGAAAGUUAGAUAAAAAAACGAUUUGCGCUCAAUCGCGCCGAUGCCAAGGAAGAGCCUAAUUUUUCUGAAUCCGCAAGUAUCCACAAUUAAAUUAACACAAGCUAAGCUGCAAAAUUUUCCAUAACUCGCACGGCCGACUAUCCUGUUAAAGUAAUUGCACAAAAAAAUAUAAUUGCAAAACUAUAAAUAUUAACUUGCAGGUCCGACGAUAAACGCAAUACUGUUUACAGCGACUGGAUUGCAUUCUGCCGUGCAAUAUGUGCACACGUGUGUUUUCUCACUUAACAAUGUAAUACGACUAACGAGGAGCAAUUCACGUGGAAUCAAAAUAAGAUACUUCUAAGAACGAGACAGUUGCUAAAGUCAAGAUGAAGUGGAGCAUCCUUCUGGUGAUGCUGGCAGCCAUCCUCUUCCACGAGACUAUGGCCCAAGGCCGAUGCAGACCACCAUGCCGUCAUCCUCGAAGAUGCGUUCGUGUCAACUGCCCAACACCACGUUGUCCAGUCAGAUACCACUGUGUAUAGAUAGGGAGAAGAAAUAAAGGUGCAUUCACAAUGGACAACAUCGAAUGACGACCUGCAAGUACACGGAAAUGAAAAUCUUGAAAACAUUCUUUAAUGAGAAAUAAUAAUGCAAUAACUUCUUCUUUUUAUCAUUUUGUAAUGAUUAUUAUUAUUAUUAAAACUCUGAAUAAAUUAAUAAACGUGUGACAAUUAUUACGUA